AAAUGUGAAGGUGAUCUGGCUGUGAUGUCUGCCUUUCUAUUGAUCACCAGGGCUGUCUUGGCAGAUCUGGUUAGCUAAGCAAAUGUCUGCUUCCUCCCCACACUACACUAUGUGUGUCCCCAAAACUGGCAAGAGGAUGAUCUUCCCCAAUAGAGAAGGAUCGUGUUUCUGUCAAGAGCAUGUGAGUAGCUGUAUUCCCCUGCUAAAACCUCCAAACAAACUUGCAAGAUAGAGUUACACUCCCACAAGCCAAGGAAUUGCUAGAAGCCAGGAAAGAAGCGUGAAGUAGGUC
Molecule: small nuclear RNA, 292 nt
Filed under: Chinchilla lanigera (long-tailed chinchilla)
Lineage: Eukaryota; Metazoa; Chordata; Mammalia; Rodentia; Chinchillidae
Description: 7SK RNA (ENSCLAG00000021759.1)
Rfam family: 7SK RNA
About the family: 7SK was discovered as an abundant small nuclear RNA in the mid-70s but a possible function has only recently been suggested. Two independent studies have found that 7SK RNA binds the CDK9/cyclin T complex (known as elongation factor P-TEFb). P-TEFb activates transcription by phosphorylating the C-terminal domain of RNA polymerase II.
Source: RNAcentral